GAUGAACGCUGGCGGCGUGCCUAAUACAUGCAAGUCGAGCGAACAGAUAAGGAGCUUGCUCCUUUGACGUUAGCGGCGGACGGGUGAGUAACACGUGGGUAACCUACCUAUAAGACUGGAAUAACUCCGGGAAACCGGGGCUAAUGCCGGAUAACAUUUAGAACCGCAUGGUUCUAAAGUGAAAGAUGGUUUUGCUAUCACUUAUAGAUGGACCCGCGCCGUAUUAGCUAGUUGGUAAGGUAACGGCUUACCAAGGCAACGAUACGUAGCCGACCUGAGAGGGUGAUCGGCCACACUGGAACUGGGACACGGUCCGGACUCCUACGGGAGGCAGCAGUAGGGAAUCUGCCGCAAUGGGCGAAAGCCUGACGGAGCAACGCCGCGUGAGUGAUGAAGGUCUUCGGAUCGUAAAACUCUGAUAUUAGGGAAGAACAAAUGUGUAAGUAACUGUGCACGUCUUGACGGUACCUAAUCAGAAAGCCACGGCUAACUACGUG
This 497-nucleotide ribosomal RNA is filed under the name uncultured bacterium. RNAcentral describes it as "partial 16S ribosomal RNA". It matches the Rfam family "Bacterial small subunit ribosomal RNA", at positions 28 to 507 of the family's 1533-position model. The record is from RNAcentral.